UAGGAAUUUAGUUAAAUGGUAUAACAUCAGAUCUACACUCUUAAAUUAAUGGUUCAAUUCCAUUAGUUCUAU
RNAcentral lists this transfer RNA (72 nucleotides) under Brettanomyces nanus. RNAcentral's name for it is "tRNA-Val". It matches the Rfam family "tRNA". Rfam says of the family: Transfer RNA (tRNA) molecules are approximately 80 nucleotides in length. Their secondary structure includes four short double-helical elements and three loops (D, anti-codon, and T loops). The record is from RNAcentral. Lineage: Eukaryota; Fungi; Ascomycota; Pichiomycetes; Pichiales; Pichiaceae.